GUCUGGUGCCAGCAGCCGCGGUAAUUCCAGCUCCAAUAGCGUACGUUAAAGUUGCUGCAGUUAAAAAGCUCGUAGUUGAACGUUCGGGUUCCGCGGGACGGGGCCGCCCCGCGAGGGACGGCGCCGCCCCGGGGCUCGUGAUAUCUCAUCUCGCCGCCCGUCGCGAGGCGGACGGAGGGAUGGAUGAGGUUACCUGGAAAAAUCGGGGCGAUCUAGGCGGGCGAACCUCGCCAACGAACGAUCGGACAUGGGAUAACGGAAGAGGGCGUCGGCUCGACUUCGUCGGUUCCUCGGGCCGAGGCACGUACGGUGAAUAGGGACGGUCGGGGCCGCCCGUACCGGGUCGUGAGAGGUGAAAUUCUAGGAUCGACCCGAGACGAACCGCCGCGAAAGCAUUCGGCAAGG
This 405-nucleotide ribosomal RNA is filed under the name uncultured eukaryote. Its description in RNAcentral is "bacterial SSU rRNA". It matches the Rfam family "Eukaryotic small subunit ribosomal RNA", at positions 559 to 963 of the family's 1831-position model. The record is from RNAcentral.